This is a non-coding RNA of Vicia faba (fava bean), 195 nucleotides long. Lineage: Eukaryota; Viridiplantae; Streptophyta; Magnoliopsida; Fabales; Fabaceae. The record is from the annotation of a GenBank genome assembly.
AUGUUCAUAUACACUCACAAUAAAAGGGGGGAAAUUAGGCAUAACAGCCUGUAUAUACACAUAACAUUGAAUCUCAUAUACUUAUACAUAUAUAGGCUGAAUAUUCAAUCUUUCCUCCACCAUAUUCAUUGUCAUAUAUUAGGACCUUCUUUACAAGCCCACAAUAUUCAUUUUCUAUUUUUCUUCAUAACUUAA